This 253-nucleotide ribosomal RNA is filed under the name uncultured bacterium. RNAcentral describes it as "partial 16S ribosomal RNA". It matches the Rfam family "Bacterial small subunit ribosomal RNA", at positions 524 to 776 of the family's 1533-position model. The record is from RNAcentral.
UACGUAGGGGGCAAGCGUUGUCCGGAAUCAUUGGGCGUAAAGCGCGUGUAGGCGGCCCGAUAAGUCCGCUGUGAAAGUCCAGGGCUCAACCCUGGAAUGCCGGUGGAUACUGUCGGGCUCGAGUCCGGAAGAGGCGAGUGGAAUUCUCGGUGUAGAGGUGAAAUUCGUAGAUAUCGAGAGGAACACCGGUGGCGAAGGCGGCGAUCUGGACGAUGACUGACGCUGAGACGCGAAAGCGUGGGGAGCAAACAGG